GAUGAAGAACGUAGCGAAAUGCGAUACUUGGUGUGAAUUGCAGAAUCCCGUGAACCAUCGAGUCUUUGAACGCAAGUUGCGCCCGAAGCCAUUUGGUUGAGGGCACGUCUGCCUGGGCGUCACAUAUCGUUGCCCGAUGCCUAUCGCACUGUGAUAGGAAAUUCUAGGGCGAAAGAUGGCUUCCCGUGAGCGUUGUUGCCUCGCGGUUGGUUGAAAAUUGAGUCCUUGGUAGGGUGUGCCAUGAUAGAUGGUGGUCGAGUUUGCACGAGACCGAUCAUGUGUGCGCUCCCCAAAAUAUGGACUCUUUGACCCCACACGCGUCUUUUGACGCUCAUGACGAGACCUCAGGUCAGGCGGGGCUACCAGCUGAGUUUAAGCAUAUCAAUAAGCGGAGGA
RNAcentral lists this unclassified non-coding RNA (396 nucleotides) under soil metagenome. RNAcentral describes it as "partial contains 5.8S ribosomal RNA, internal transcribed spacer 2, and large subunit ribosomal RNA". The stretch from base 1 to 122 matches the Rfam family "5.8S ribosomal RNA", at positions 35 to 154 of the family's 154-position model. The record is from RNAcentral.